CCUACGGGGGGCAGCAGUGAGGAAUAUUGGUCAAUGGACGAGAGUCUGAACCAGCCAAGUAGCGUGACGGAUGACUGCCCUAUGGGUUGUAAACUUCUUUUAUAUGGGAAUAAAAUGUUCCACGUGUGGGAUUUUGUAUGUACCAUAUGAAUAAGGAUCGGCGAAAUCCGUGCCAGCAGCCGCGGUAAUACGGAGGAUCCGAGCGUUAUCCGGAUUUAUUGGGUUUAAAGGGAGCGUAGGUGGAUUGUUAAGUCAGUUGUGAAAGUUUGCGGCUCAACCGUAAAAUUGCAGUUGAAACUGGCAGUCUUGAGUACAGUAGAGGUGGGCGGAAUUCGUGGUGUAGCGGUGAAAUGCUUAGAUAUCACGAAGAACUCCGAUUGCGAAGGCAGUUCACUGGACUGCAACUGACACUGAGGCUCGAAAGUGUGGGUAUCAAACAGGAUUAGAUACCCUAGUAGUC
This 460-nucleotide ribosomal RNA is filed under the name uncultured bacterium. Its description in RNAcentral is "partial 16S ribosomal RNA". It matches the Rfam family "Bacterial small subunit ribosomal RNA", at positions 338 to 795 of the family's 1533-position model. The record is from RNAcentral.